This 428-nucleotide ribosomal RNA is filed under the name uncultured bacterium. RNAcentral describes it as "bacterial SSU rRNA". It matches the Rfam family "Bacterial small subunit ribosomal RNA", at positions 28 to 456 of the family's 1533-position model. The record is from RNAcentral.
GAUGAACGCUAGCGGCAGGCUUAACACAUGCAAGUCGAGGGGCAGCACGUCUUCGGAUGGUGGCGACCGGCGCACGGGUGCGUAACGCGUAUAGAAUCUACCUUUUACAGGGGAAUAGCCCAGAGAAAUUUGGAUUAAUGCCCCAUAGUAUUAUAGAAUGGCAUCAUUUUAUAAUUAAACAUUUAUGGGUAAAAGAUGACUAUGCGUUCUAUUAGCUAGUAGGUAAGGUAACGGCUUACCUAGGCGACGAUAGAUAGGGGUCCUGAGAGGGAGAUCCCCCACACUGGUACUGAGACACGGACCAGACUCCUACGGGAGGCAGCAGUGAGGAAUAUUGGACAAUGGGCGAGAGCCUGAUCCAGCCAUGCCGCGUGCAGGAAGACGGUCCUAUGGAUUGUAAACUGCUUUUAUACAGGAAGAAACACUCC